Long non-coding RNA from Panicum virgatum (switchgrass), 632 nucleotides. RefSeq lists it as uncharacterized. The record is from RefSeq and is a predicted model, not a curated record. The transcript is spliced from 2 exons. NCBI's taxonomy places the organism in Eukaryota, Viridiplantae, Streptophyta, Magnoliopsida, Poales, Poaceae.
UGUGUAGUCAUGAGAUAUUGUAAAUCCAUAUGUAUCAUCUAUUUAUUUGAUCUGCUACUGCUAGUGCUCUCUGCAAUUUCAUAUGCUGAUCAAGUGCAAGCAAUGUGGUCUACAGGUACCAGCAGGGAUAUAUAGGCUAAAGCUCCAUAUUGCUGGGAUCCGUGGCCAGGUUAAUAUGGAAUCUUUAACUCUAAUCGAAGUUGCUUUGCUUGAUUUUUUAGCAGCUCAGUUCGCUUUCAACUAGCUGUCAGUGCCUGCAACUUCUUCUCUUCUCUUGGAUACAGGUAAUUGUUUUGGCGUGGUGCAGAAGCCCAGGAAAAAGCCCAGACUCUACUUUUAGGAUGAAAUGGAACAAGGAACAAACAGUGAGAAGAGAUUGGAAAUUUGAAGGCAAAUGCUGGAAUAUUUGAUGUUUUUGUUUCUAGUGUUGCUUUUGAUGCAAGAUGAAUGUAACUUGCAUGUAAAUUUUGAGGUGCUUGUCAAUGUAAAUCAUACGAUAUUGUAUUUGAUUUGAUGUUGUGGUAAAUGGUCUUACAAUUUUAGUAUAUAUAUUCUGGGCUGUAAUGACUAUUCUAAUAAAAAGAUUGAAAUUAGGCCCAAUUUGGUGGCCCACUCUGAAUUGGGCCCAUCCA